RNAcentral lists this ribosomal RNA (807 nucleotides) under uncultured archaeon. RNAcentral describes it as "bacterial SSU rRNA". It matches the Rfam family "Archaeal small subunit ribosomal RNA", at positions 85 to 879 of the family's 1478-position model. The record is from RNAcentral.
ACGGCUCAGUAACACGUAGCUAAUCUACCCUUGGGACAGAGACACCCCCGGGAAACUGGGGCUAAUCCUUGAUAGGUAUGGGGAGCUGGAAUGGUUCACGCCCAAAAGCAUAACGACCAUGUUCGUUAUGUGCCAGAGGAUGGGGCUGCGGCCGAUCAGGCCGUUGGCGAGGUAACGGCUCACCAAACCUUUGACCGGUACGGGCCAUGAGAGUGGUAGCCCGGAGAUGGACACUGAGAUAGGGGUCCAGGCCCUACGGGGCGCAGCAGGCGCGAAAACUCCACACUGUACGUAAGUACGAUGGGGUUACCUCGAGUGUAGUCUGUAAAAGAUCGCUUUUCCAUAGAGUAAUAUCCUGUGGGAAUAAGAGGGGGGCAAGACUGGUGUCAGCCGCCGCGGUAACACCAGCCCCUCGAGUGGUAGGGACUUUUAUUUGGCCUAAAGCGUUCGUAGCCGUCUGUAACCGUUGCCCGUUAAAUCCAGCGUCUCAAGCGUUGGACUGCGGGCGAUACCUUACAGAUUGAGGGUGGGAUAGGUAAGCGGUAUUUCUGGGGUAGGGGCGAAAUCCUUUGAUCCCAGGAGGACCACCAGUGGCGAAGGCUGCUUACUAGAACACGCCUGACGGUCAGGAACGAAAGCUGGGGUAGCGAACCGGAUUAGAUACCCGGGUAGUCCCAGCUGUAAACGAUGCGCGCUAGGUGUUGGGUCGGCCAUGCGCCGCCCCAGUGCCGCAGGGAAGCCGUUAAGCGCGCCGCCUGGGGAGUACGGCCGCAAGGCUGAAACUUAAAGGAAUUGGCGGGGGAGCAC